CACAUUAGAUGUGUUUAUUGUAGAUUUUAAAAUAUUCUAUAGUUCAUGAAAAAAAGUUGAGCUGUAGGAGCUAGGAAAAUAACUUUGUUGUGUGUAUCCACCAAGAUUAUACUCAAAAGUUCAUUCUGAAUUCGAAUGGAGGCUGUGCCCUACUCCCACAAACAAAUGCUAGUUCCUAAGCCUUCAGAUUCAGAAGCUUUACUUUUUAAUUUUUUUUGUCUUGGAAAUGUUAUUGUUUUUUUUAAAAAAAGGCUUUAUAUUUUAAGAGAAGUUUUAGGUUUACAGCAAAAUUGAGAGGAAGGAUCAGAGAUAUCGCCUUUGCCCUCUGCCACCACAUGUAUGGUUUCUCCCAUGGCAACAUACCCCCACACAGAGCAGAAGUAUUAUUUUAUCUUCUUUAGGAUGAAUUUGACUUCUAGGCACAUGUUUAAUAUUUUUUCUUUGCUAGGAAGUAACUGGUAAAGGAGUCUAUUCAUUAGUUCUUGUAAUAAGUUUGAGUUAUAACUAGGUGGUGCUCCUAUUAAUUCCAAAGUGAUAGCCUGUCUUGCUUGAGAAUAGAUGUGUUUAGCAGGCAAUUUUAGAAGAUGGAUUCAUUCUACACAGAUCAUCAGUACUAUCCAAGGACACAUUUUGUUGUGUUCUUGUGGUUUGGGAUGUUUAGGGGGGAAUCUGAAUUGUUAUGAGGGGAAGUUGGCCCUGAUAUCCUCAGAAGUUCCUUCCAACUCUUAGAUGCUAUGACUUUAUGAAAAUUUUAUUUUUGAAAUGCUGUAUUUCCAGUCAGUGAAAGUAGCAGGGUCCUUAUAUAAAUACAUAUAAGGAUACUCCAAGAUCUUGAAUUUAAAAAUGUUUACCCUUAAAUUUUUAAAAAUUAAAAUAAUUUUGCUUUCUACGUUUUGUACCUGUAGAAUUUACACCACGGUUCCACUCUCUCAACAUUUCCCAUGACAUGGAAUUCUUUAAUAUGAGACUUCAAGCAUAACUUUUGAGGUUCCAUUUAAUUCUUCUUUUCAAGAAUAACUGAUACUGUGUUCAGGAUGGGAUACAAAUGACUGAUAUUCUAAAAUGUAACUUUUUUUUACACUAUCUACCUGGAGAUAAAAAAUGUAACAAUUCUGAAUUCCCACAGACCCAUAAGUUAGCAGAGCAUGCAGUCAGUCUUGCCUUACAGUCUCUCUAUUGAUUUGCCUCAUAAUCCUUGGGCUUACUGGUGUCUCAUUGGUCAUUUCUGGUUGUUUUUGUCAUUCAUGAAUGCAGCCAGAAUUCAGCCCCUCCCACGCUUUUGAAGUCAGAGGACUUGGUAACCCCAGAACAUCAUUCCUUGUAUAUGUGGCUCCUGCUGUUACUGCCACAAAACUCCGUCUUCAUAGAGCCACUUGGUCUUAGUGUGGUUUUAUGUGGCUUAGAGGUGUAGUACCCAAUGCAUUCCAUGCCUCCCUGGAGCUCAGAGUCUUUGUCCAGUUGGUUUUAGCUCUAGGGAGAGGAACAAGUCUUGCCUUUCUCCUGUCUUCCAACUCUGUUUUCUGGCUCAGGACUAAUCUAAUGGGAUGAUUGAGAGGAAUGAUGCAUUUCCUGCAGACAAGUCCUUAUCCACUACCUCGAGAGAGUGGUCUGGCUUCUACGGACAUCACAAAAAUUGAUGUCAGAGUUUUCCUUCUUUCUCAGCACUCUAGAAUAGAUUAAAUAGUAAUAGAAGCAUCUGCAUGUUAAAGU
This 1710-nucleotide long non-coding RNA is filed under the name Homo sapiens (human). Its description in RNAcentral is "HSALNT0069763". The record is from RNAcentral. Lineage: Eukaryota; Metazoa; Chordata; Mammalia; Primates; Hominidae.